GGGGCUUCGGCCCUGAGUAGAGUGGCAAACGGGUGAGUAACACGUGGGUGACCUGCCUUCGAGUGGGGGAUAACGUCCCGAAAGGGACGCUAAUACCGCAUGACAUCCUGCUCUUGGACGAGCGGAGAUCAAAGCUGGGGAUCGCAAGACCUGGCGCUUGAAGAGGGGCCCGCGCCUGAUUAGCUAGUUGGUGGGGUAAUGGCCUACCAAGGCAACGAUCAGUAUCCGGCCUGAGAGGGCGGACGGACACACUGGGACUGAGACACGGCCCAGACUCCUACGGGAGGCAGCAGUGGGGAAUUGUUCGCAAUGGGCGCAAGCCUGACGACGCAACGCCGCGUGGAGGAUGAAGAUCUUCGGGUCGUAAACUCCUGUCGAGCGGGACGAACACCUGCCGGUUUAACACGCCGGUAGGCUGACGGUACCGCUAAAGGAAGCCCCGGCUAACUCCGUGCCAGCAGCCGCGGUAAUACGGGGGGGGCAAGCGUUGUUCGGAAUUACUGGGCGUAAAGGGCUCGUAGGCGGCCAACUAAGUCAGACGUGAAAUCCCCAGGCUCAACCUGGGAACUGCGCCUGAUACUGGAUGGCUUGAAUCCGGGAGAGGGAUGCAGAAUUCCAGGUGUAGCGGUGAAAUGCGUAGAUAUCUGGAGGAAUACCGGUGGCGAAGGCGGUAUCCUGGACCGGCAUUGACGCUGAUGAGCGAAAGCCAGGGGAGCAAACGGGAUUAGAUACCCCGGUAGUCCUGGCCCUAAACGAUGAAUGCUUGGUGUGACGGGUAUCGAUCCCUGUCGUGCCGAAGCUAACGCAUUAAGC
This 813-nucleotide ribosomal RNA is filed under the name uncultured Acidobacteriota bacterium. Its description in RNAcentral is "bacterial SSU rRNA". It matches the Rfam family "Bacterial small subunit ribosomal RNA", at positions 74 to 865 of the family's 1533-position model. Lineage: Bacteria; Pseudomonadati; Acidobacteriota. The record is from RNAcentral.